GGGGCUGUAGCUCAAUUGGUAGAGCGCCACAAUGGCAUUGUGGAGGUCGACGGUUCGACUCCGUUCAGCUCCA
This 73-nucleotide transfer RNA is filed under the name Candidatus Margulisiibacteriota bacterium. RNAcentral describes it as "tRNA-Ala". It matches the Rfam family "tRNA". From Rfam's summary of the family: Transfer RNA (tRNA) molecules are approximately 80 nucleotides in length. Their secondary structure includes four short double-helical elements and three loops (D, anti-codon, and T loops). Lineage: Bacteria; Bacillati; Candidatus Margulisiibacteriota. The record is from RNAcentral. RNAcentral also lists the same sequence under 1 other name.